GCCAUGAGGAACAACCAGUAAGCAGGGAUUGUCCAACCCCCACAGUGGGACAAAUGAGUGAGAUGCAAUCAUUUGAAGUGAUGAAACAAAAGCUGUUCAAUGAGCCUCUGGAGAGAUGAAAGGCAAAAGAGAAAGGCCUCCGGCUAAAGACUUCAUGGCUGGGAAACUCACAAUUUUUAUGCAGAAGUCCUUACUGCUGUGGGAUUCCAAAGGAGAAAGCAGUGCAUUUUUCAUGAAAACAAAAAUGAAAUAAAACAAAACCAAAUCCCUCAGAAGAUAGAAGUGAGAUGGGUUCCGAGGACAAAUUGAUUAAUCUAUAAGUGAUCAAUAUUGAUGAAUUUAUCUGGUCUACUCUGGAAGAACUCAGUAAAUGGAAGAUCUUCAAAGUCUGCAGAUUCUAGAAAGAAAUGCUCUGUGAUAUUUUUCUACAGGUUCAUGAGCUAAAAAUGACAGUGGGCAUUCAAGUGUGGUGUCCAGUGAGACAACUCAUCACUGGCUUCAAGAAGGGAUCUGAGCUUACUCACAGUAUCUAUUCAUGGUGAUGGAUCCUGUGACCAUUGGGUGAAAACUUUCUCCAUUUAAGAAAACCAAACUUUCAUCUGAGAGAGGAGGCAGUUUACUAUAUGAUGGGUACCCCUCUGGGCUCUGACAAUGUAUUUGGACUUCUGUUGGGGAAAUCUGAGUUUGUUGUCUAUCCUGCAGCCUUUGAUUAAGGUCCAGGACCAUUUAUACCUUCAGAAUCCUGUUAGUAACUUUCUCAAGGGCUUGCAACUGAAGAAAGCAGCAGGUGUCAGGGAGGUACCCACGUGCUAUGUAUAGUCUUGCUAAUUUGUUUUUUCUAGGAAUGUCCCAUGGACAACAGUAGCCACCAUAAGAAGUUAAUUACAAUUUUACCUUUUUAUUUAUUUAUAAUUUUUGCUAUUAGUUGAACUAGCAAAUGGUUCAAUAGUAAAUUAUCUUGCAGUUCUUGUGUGAUGAAACUUCAUAAAGACAGAAAGUUAUAAUACAAGCUUUGUAGUAUUAGUAUACAUGUGGGUCUUCAUAUAUCCACUAAGCUGGAGAUGGAUUUCAUUAUUCAACAUUUGCAUAACAGAAAGUGAGCUUUUAUUAUUUUCCAAUUAAAUAUUAUACCUUGAUUACAGUUUUCUUUUUUUAGAAAACAGACUAGUAUAAAGUGAGAAUUAACAUCAGAAAGCUGGCAAACUUUACUAGAUUAUUAUAAGAUAUAAUCAACAUGAAGAUCCAAGGAGCCAAGCGAAUGAAAGAAUUUCUAAACUAUAGAACCAUGGUAGCGUUCUGAAAAGUUAUAUGACCAAUAUAUGGUUGUGCAUAUCAUCUGCCGUAUUCUGAAAACAACUCUUGGUGCUUGAAAAAAAAUGAAAACUAAACUGGGUAGUGAUGCUACAUGGCUUUAAUUGCAGGACUUGGGAUGCAGAGGCAGGUAGGCUCUGUGAGUUUAAGGCCAGCCUGGUCUAUGGAAAGAGUUCCAGGACAACCAAAGCAACACAGAGAAAUCCUGUCUUCCAAAACAAACAAACUAACUAAAACCAACCAAACAAAAAAGGUAAAAUCAUAGCAGAAAAGUUUGAUUUUUAUUCUCAAAUUUUUUAUGGCCAAUGAAACUGAUCCAACAUUUGUGUAGUGCAGAGUCCAAGAUAGUGCUUGCUCCAAAGUCAGUUCCACCAGGAGAAUGGGAUGUCUAUGGCACACUCUAUAGAUUAAUAUAUGGGGAGGCUGAAAGGACUGAUAGUAAUUAAAGGAAGCUUAAAAUAUGAUGUUCUAGGUUAUGCCUAAUUCUAAAAUGUCCCCUUCUUUCCAUGUCACUUGUCACAUCCUUAUUUACCAGCUUAGCUGUUCUAGUGUCUAUGACCUCAUUGGCCCACUCUUACAGAUUCAUCACUUCCUUAUCUGGCAUUCAGCCUGGAAUAACACACAUUUUAUUACUGAGAAUAUCCCAUUAUGUCAAAUCAAUAAAGGAAUUAUCAUUUUGGAAGGGAGAUGGAGCUACGCUGUAGUAUGUUUCACUGCUUUCUGCCUCCCUGACUCUGGGCAAGUCACUUAACAGUCUUGAGUCUGAGCAAGUCUUAGCUGUAAACGAUAAUGAUGACAUUAUGAACAUUAAAUAUAGUGUUCACACAUGUCCUGCAUAUAGGAAGCACCUCAGAAAUGACAUUCAUUGUUAAUUUUUAUGGAUAUAUUAUCCCCGUUGGAUGGUCUUGCACUCUCAUUAUGUUCUUCUUUAGCUAAUGGAAGCUGGCAUGAGGACCAGGUACAUAGGAAGUACCUGAUAAAUAUUCGAACUAGUAAGCAUAUGGGAAACAAAAAAGAGAGAAAUUAGAAGCGAUAUUUUGUGUGUGAGGGAAUGGUGUAGAAGAGUUGAAAGGGACAAGAAAUUAGAAAUCUCUCUGGUCUUACCAGAGGAAAGUCUUGCAGAGCAUAUUCAGUUGGGUUGGCUAGUGAACUACAAGUUGGCACAUUCAGGUUCAAUGGUAUCUGCUAUGGUAAGGAGUGUGGGGAUAUAGUGUUUUGGGAGACAAUGAUAUAUUAAAAAGUAUGAGUAAUGGAUAUUUUUAGAAAACCAGAUUCAUCCCUAUGAACCCCGGUGAUGGUUGGUUUUAAUGUUAAUUUGUCAGGAAUUAGAAUCAUGUGAGUAGGGAGUUUCACCUGAAGGAUUGCCCUGAUUGUCUCAAUGGGUGAGAAAAAACCUACUCCAGUGUGAAUGGUUCCUUCUGGGAGCAGCCUAGAUAAACAGAGAGCCUCGCACUGGGAACAUUGUUCUCCUUUGUCCAUACCUUCAGACACCAAGUGGGUUUCCCUUUGCAGCCAAGGCUGAUGUCUCCAGAGAUAUCAGAACCAGCAUUUCCAGGCUUCAUCACUGACCAAGGACUAGUCAUUCUCCAGGAAUGUUUAAGGUUUGCAGCUCCAGGUUAGGACUUGCUGUGGCACCAGCCUCUGGGACUGAGUGAGUGCUGGGUUGUGGGCUUCUGGUGUGAGACCAUAAGUGUGGGAUUUACUCCAAUUGCAGGUGUACCAGCCUUCAGUACUGAGUCACUGUGGGCAUCUCUGCUUUUAAGCUGAUUUAAUACAUUUUUUUUUUUAUUAUUCAGCUAAGGUUCUGCUGCUCUAGAGGACAUAGACCUACUCAAACGCUAAUGACUUUAACAUGUUAACGUUUUUAUUUGUUUAUAAGAGGAACAUGUGUGUGUUCACUACACCCCAAGGUUUUGAAAAAAAACUUGUUGUCAUACUGUGUAUAGCCGGGUGAUAAGGAGAUAUUUUUGAGAGGGGAGGACUAGAGAAAGGUUUCACUUUGUUGCAUAGGCUGGCCUUGAACUUGGGGUUAUCCUUCUGCUUCAACUUUUCAAGUACUAGGCUUAAAGGCAGAAUCCACAAAACUCAGCAUAAAGAAGAUUCAGUGAAGAUAGUCUAUUCUGAUGAAACGUAAGGGUGUCUUAAAGAUGAUGAUUCAUGACUUUAGAAUAGCCAUAAAUCUUUGAGGAAUGAGCAAACCAAAAUUAGGAACAUAUGUCCCCUGUGCUCUUGGAAUGGCACUUCCACGAGAGUCACCAGGAGUUAAAUGGAAUGAUGACAAGCCACAUAUGGCACCAGAUCUGUGCUAAAUUAAUAACAGUAUGAGAACACAGUUAAACAGUGAUAAUCCCCUUGUUAUCCAGUGUCUUUUCCCUUUCCAACAACCUCACAGUACAUCGUUAAACACGCAAAAGACACUUGUUAAUGGGGACAGCUGACAUGCGAGGAAAAACCAUGUGGCCUAUCUUUUGAAACAAGCUGAAGAGGCUGAUUCAGGCUUCUUCAUUCACAGGACUGCAGAGGAGUCAUUUGGAGAUCAAAAAAUGAGGCUAAACCUGACUAGCUUGAGGCACUCCAUCUGGCUCUGCCCCAUGCUGUUGCCAUAGCCACCCAUCUCCUAGCAACAAUGAAUAGCAUUUUCAUGUCUCUACAGUGACAAACCAUGAGAGUGAAAAAACAUAAGUAUGGCCACAAUACACUAAUAAUCUUAGAGGUUAUCUCAUAAAUUAAGUUCAAGCUGAGGAUCUGCAUGAAUAUUUGAUUUCGUGAUUAUAUUUUUCCUAUGGUAGUCUUUUGUCUUGGUUUAAAAUAAAGCAGCCUGACAGCCUGCUAUUAAAUAUAAGGUGACAAAUAUCAUUACAAAGGGCACAAUAAAGCUAAACUUUAUUUUAAA
RNAcentral lists this long non-coding RNA (4204 nucleotides) under Mus caroli (Ryukyu mouse). RNAcentral's name for it is "predicted gene 29461 (MGP_CAROLIEiJ_G0004464.1)". The record is from RNAcentral. Lineage: Eukaryota; Metazoa; Chordata; Mammalia; Rodentia; Muridae.